UGACAGAUACAGGAUCUACCACCCUUUCAAUAUCUUGCCGCCUCUAAAUAUCAAGUAAGGGCUCAGCAGAAUAGGCCCAUAUCUUCAAGAAAAUAACUUUCCUUCAGGUUGUUUGUUCGCCGUGAUUGAAAAUGGGUUCAACGCUGCGGAAUGCGAGAGAUCUUCGAAGGUUAGGUAGGUUAAGAUUAGGAUCUAUGUUGGCAUCCAUGCGCUAAGAAUGUGGAAUCCGUUUGUUGCUUUCCAUAUUUAUUGUAUUUUUACUUUUUCGACUCUGUCACUAUACGAUCUGCUCCUUAGCUUUCCAUGGGCAGUUCAUAUAUGCCACUUAGAUUGCUAUAGCUGUAUCUUGUUUUUCAUUUCUUUGCUCCGCGAGUGUUCUUAAGCCUAUAUCAUGGAUAUAGAACUCUGAAGGCCUAUGCCUUCUUGUUACCUGUUUAUCCUGUGAGGUGCUCUCCUCUUCUGCACUGUACAAAGGAUGCAGUGUUGAUACAUACUAGAAGUAACC
This 505-nucleotide small RNA is filed under the name Histoplasma capsulatum. Its description in RNAcentral is "hypothetical RNA". RNAcentral also lists the same sequence under 1 other name. The record is from RNAcentral. Lineage: Eukaryota; Fungi; Ascomycota; Eurotiomycetes; Onygenales; Ajellomycetaceae.